GGCUGGGUAGCUCAGUUGGUUAGAGCAUCGUCCUGAUACGCCAAAGUUGUGGGUUCAAUUCCCCAGUCA
Molecule: transfer RNA, 69 nt
Filed under: Myotis brandtii (Brandt's bat)
Lineage: Eukaryota; Metazoa; Chordata; Mammalia; Chiroptera; Vespertilionidae
Rfam family: tRNA
About the family: Transfer RNA (tRNA) molecules are approximately 80 nucleotides in length.
Source: Rfam by way of RNAcentral